This is a long non-coding RNA of Anolis carolinensis (green anole), 492 nucleotides long. RefSeq lists it as uncharacterized. The record is from RefSeq and is a predicted model, not a curated record. The transcript is spliced from 3 exons. Lineage: Eukaryota; Metazoa; Chordata; Lepidosauria; Squamata; Anolidae.
CUCCCACUCACUGGUUGUCUCAUCAGUAUUUAUCACCCGAGAAGACCAUUCCCCAGGGCAGUCUCUGUGCAGUGUUCCAUUAUCAGAUUCCAGCAGUUAGGUUGCUGAACUUCUUCUGGAAGUGAAUAUAAAGGAGGAAAACGAGAGUUAGAUCCAGUUCCACCUUCAGAUGCAGCUGGACUUAGUGCAGCACAUUGUUUGACAGAUGAUGAAUGACCUGGGGACCAGAAGUGUUGCUUACGGGAGUGCUCAAGAUCCUGUCUUGACCCUGCCUUUGGUUGACCUUGAAGAAGGCUUGGAUCCAUGGAUAGCAACCACUAAGAUGUUUGGUUGGAGCUCCUCUGAGAAGGAUAGUCAUCUCUCCUUGCUCCAUAAAAGACCAAACCCUGCUCUAAACCAUCCCCAUUUUCUCUACUGACGAGGGUCCCAAUUCAGCUCUCUUGGCAUCCCUCUUUCACUUGACAAUAAAUCCAACAACCCCCUGCACCUCAA